Molecule: long non-coding RNA, 1007 nt
Organism: Chionomys nivalis (European snow vole)
Lineage: Eukaryota; Metazoa; Chordata; Mammalia; Rodentia; Cricetidae
Exons: 4
Source: RefSeq, a predicted model, not a curated record
AGCUCAGGUUCCUUAGCUAUGAUAAACGGCUAAAAAGCCACCAAGUUGCUGAUGGCGUUGGAAUCUCUCUGUCUGGGAACAAAAGGAGGAAGCCUGAUUCUGCGAUUUUCCAAAAGAAUAAAGCAUUCAGGACCCGCCACUAGGUCUCCAGCACCGAGGACAGCGCUCAGGCAGUCCAGCCCUCUCUAUAGGCAGCCAGGCACUAAUUGAGAUCAGGACCUGGACCAGGAGGAAGAGGGCGAGAAACCAGACAACAGACAUCAGGAAGCAAGGGUGGAUAGAUGGGCGGAUCUUCUUCCUCUCCACCACGAAGCUCUUCCUCUCUUCAGACCCAGAAACAGCCAAGCGUCUAUGGACUGAGACCUCUGAAACUAUGAUCCAAGAUAGAACUUUAAGUUGAUAUUUCUCAGGCAUUUUGUCAGAGUGGCAGAAACUUGACACCAGCCAUCCAAGUUGAGCAAAGGAUACCAGCUGCAGCAAUGGCUCUGGUUCUAUCAUGGUGUUGAUGCCUUGGGGAGACCUCUGCCCUUUUCUGUCUCCAUUGAUGCAAGUAGAUACUGGCCUAGAGACUUCUGAUGCUAAGCAACAAUUUGCUGCCUUUUCAUCAUCACAGUUGAGUGACAAGCCUCUGUGUCUACACCAGCCUUCAUCUCCUUGCGUGUUCUGCAGAUGGCCACGAGAAACAGACUAAGAUGGAUGGGAUCUGAUGAUCUUGCAUGUAGAACAUCUGAGUCAUGAUCUGGAUGACAGGACUGGUGGAUGGACGCCUUUAGGACAAGGGACUGAAGUCAUCCUCCAACAACAGAGAUUGGAACAGAUAACCCACCAUGUGGCAGCAAUUACCUAGGCAAGGCCCUACCCUGGAGCGGGAGCAGAAAUCUUCAGGGAUGAAAGUGAUAAAGACUUCUUCAACUUGCCUCAAAGAACCAGAACUGAGACAAUGGCCUUUCGUGACUGCUUAAUUAUGCAUCCAUCUUCACCUUAACCCAACCCAUGCUCUAUUUAAA